This 615-nucleotide long non-coding RNA is filed under the name Strongylocentrotus purpuratus (purple sea urchin). Its description in RNAcentral is "uncharacterized LOC115918477, transcript variant X2". Lineage: Eukaryota; Metazoa; Echinodermata; Echinoidea; Camarodonta; Strongylocentrotidae. The record is from RNAcentral.
CAUGGGUCUGCAGAAUAAGACUAAUUAAAACAGUUGAGAACAUGCAGUGCCAGUGCAGCUGUGCAGUGAUGAUGAUGAUGAUCUUGCACCAUAUACCAGCUCUGUGCUAGUGAUCCCGAAGAUCAUAUGACGAUUUGGAGACAGAAAAAGUACGACAAUUAAGUAAGUUAACGCGGAUGACUUCCUGAUGCAGGCCUAUUCAGUUAAAUGAUGCACUAUGGACGUAUCAUGUCUUGCUCUAACACGUUUGAACCUACCAUAAGAAGUGCUUAGUUGGAGUUUAAGGAGUUUUGUGCUGAUCAGCAGAGGGUUUACUACCGCUAGCUUGUUUAUAGAUCAUCACCCCAUUGUGCGGGGAAUCUAUGGAAUCUAUGGAAUCAUCGGACGGGAGACGAGAGCAGAGUUACUUUAACAGACAAAAUCCAGGAAGUGAAAGAGCAGCCUCUACUGUUUGGAUGGAACCAGUUUGAUGCUGUGGGAUCAGGGUUAUAGACCGGGGGAGUAUCAAGGACUUAUAUGUCCUUAUACACUUCUGGAUUUGAUUUACACCUGGCUGUACAAGUAUGGUGAUCUGAGAAGUAUGAGCAUACUUCAUGAAGCCUGAAGCAGCUAUAC